Tarenaya hassleriana is the source of this 745-nucleotide long non-coding RNA. RefSeq lists it as uncharacterized. Lineage: Eukaryota; Viridiplantae; Streptophyta; Magnoliopsida; Brassicales; Cleomaceae. The transcript has 2 exons. The record is from RefSeq and is a predicted model, not a curated record.
UUUCACAAAACUGAUCUUUUGACUAACGACGAGGACCCAAACUCAUCACACGACUAUUCCAUGCAUUUCAAUGAGAUAUAUAUAUGAUUUGUUUUCCAUAGCGAUGAUGAGGGCAUGCUACCACUAAAUCUUUUUAACCUUUUUUUGUUUUGUAGUCACUAUACUAUCAAAGUAUCAAAUCUCAGACGUUAAAAGGCACUUUUCUCCGUAUGGACCACUCCCAGGGCCUCCGAAAACGAACCCCGAUUGGUGUUAAGUGAGAGGUGAUGACGGGAACUUGCCCUAUGUCCUCCGACAUGCUCCUUGGCCGCAAAACGCUUUGUCAACUUGACGAGUGACUCGCACUCUUCCACGUGAUUCGAACAUACCAAAACCAUAAAACAAGCAGAAAUCGGGACUACGUACGGCCGAGAUGAAGGAACAGGGGUCCAAGCCCUGACGUCAACUAAAGAUCGAAACCGUAUUAAAGCCCACGCCUGGACCCCAUCUCACGUCAACCUCAAGAUUUUUGGAACAUCGAGUAAUACGAAUGUGUCAGACCGCUUUGAUUAUGUCUGCUGCUUGAACAGUCUAGAAGGUUUUUAAAAAUCUAAAAAGAUCCUCGUGAAAUUCGGGAUCUCCUCCUGUGAUCUCCCUACUUUCUCUUCCACUUUUUUUUUUUUUUCUGACCAACCGAACAGAAACAUGUUUCUCUUCUUUUUUUAAAAAAAAAGAGUAUAUAGAAAUGCUAUGUCAAUUACUGAUA